RNAcentral lists this non-coding RNA (47 nucleotides) under Trichobilharzia regenti. Lineage: Eukaryota; Metazoa; Platyhelminthes; Trematoda; Strigeidida; Schistosomatidae. The record is from RNAcentral.
AUUCAGUAAAGAGUCCCAAAUAGGACGAAAUGCGCGUUACCCUGGAU